RNAcentral lists this long non-coding RNA (574 nucleotides) under Nicotiana benthamiana. RNAcentral describes it as "long non-coding RNA (NBEN_LNC008731)". Lineage: Eukaryota; Viridiplantae; Streptophyta; Magnoliopsida; Solanales; Solanaceae. The record is from RNAcentral.
CAUGAAAUAACUUCAAGGAAAAAAGUGAAAGACUGACCGAACUCAAAUUUUCAGCAAAGUCAGCCUCUUUGUAGAUAUACACCAACGAACCUACCAUGAAAAGCAAGUAUGAUAUGCCUAUAGGACAGAAGGGCAGAGAGAGCUUAAAAAAACUCGUUCAGAAGUAUAAACUCUCUAAAUAAAAUUCCUACUUAAGCCUCAGGAUUCCUUCUUUGACUUGUUUUUCUUCAACACUAGGGCAGCUGUUUUCUGACCAACCCCGUUAUCCUACCCAAAACUUUGCAAACCAGCAUUACAUUCCAUCUAUGACUUCUUUUUCUUCAACACUAGGGCUGUUUUCUGACCAACCCCAUUAUCUCUACCCACAACUGAGCAAACCAGCAUGAUCUCCAAUGUGUUCUGCCUUAGCUUCAUUGAUUGGUGAGGGAGAUUAUUAACUAAGUAGGCAAUAGUGAGUACGAGUUUGAUUGGUCAGGAAUUAUAAAGAACACAUGCACUAACUGAAGUAUUCAGCAAGACCCUAGACAAGCAAGAUGACUGAUAAAGAGAUAGACUGGUUCUCAAUAAUAUACCU